This is a long non-coding RNA of Dreissena polymorpha, 1822 nucleotides long. RefSeq lists it as uncharacterized. NCBI's taxonomy places the organism in Eukaryota, Metazoa, Mollusca, Bivalvia, Myida, Dreissenidae. The record is from RefSeq and is a predicted model, not a curated record. The transcript has 9 exons.
UCCCUCCGUGGUCCAUUCGAAAGUAGUGCCUAUUUCUAAAGAGUUCCUUUUCUCUUCUUGAAUAUAAGCCAUUUAACAAUGUGAGACAUGUCUUUUGUGGUUAUUUGUAAUAUCCUGUAUGUGUCUGGAGUACUUUGAUGCCUUGGAUUGGAAGCUAACUUAAAAGAUGAACUUUUGAGGGUGUGUUUUCUAUUGUGUGGGGCUUUUGUCAAAAUUAGGAUUCCGAAACACGUUUUUUUACGGUGGGUUCAUUCGACAGCGAUUUACUUUCUUAGAAGUUGCGAGACGGUAUGUUUUUUGAUUGCAAUUAUUGGAAGAUGACAGAUCCAUCUUUAAAAUGAUACCAGGUUCGGAAAAAUUGAUACGUCGGAAAGGCAAUAAAAAUGCUGUGAAAGUUGUCAGUUUUAUAAUGGGACCCUAUGGGAAUCGGAAUUAGUGUAAUAUAACCUUUAAAAAGCACAUUUACUGCAAUGUCAAGGUCACAUGGAUUCGUCUGCAAGCGAGACAAGUAGAAAAUGAAUUUUAAUGAAUGUUUUGAUGAUUUGGGUGCUAAAAUAGAUGAGAGGUGUCAAUAUUUUGGUCCAAAUGGAUGUUUUAGGUGGUUUUGGACUGUUCCGGAUGGGUGGGGGACCUGGUAUGGACAAGUAAGGGUAACAUUUCCAACAAAUCUUAAAUGUAAAUAUUAUUAUGUCCAUAGAUUGAAGUUUCAGGUGGAGAGCAAGAUGAAAAAUAUGCAAAAUUACAUGCAUGCAACCCAUUUAUGCCAUUUUUCUCUUUGUUUGUAGGCCUGACCGUUUGUCCUUGAGCCGUAGAUGGUCAACAAUCCGCUAGCUGUCUUGCUCUGACUGGUGCACUGGACAUGAUUUCAAUAGUCAGCCAGACCAUGAUUGAGCUUAAGGGUUGUGCUGCGGAUGCAGCCUGUGCAGUUCCGGGAGAAAGUCACUGUCUCGGGCAAUGCGGUCUGGUAUCAGGUCUUGAUGAUCCUUGCCUGACUGCGGGUUUGUGUACACCUCAAUCCGACUCUGUGUCCUGAACAGAGGCCGCAGUGGUGCAGCGCUUGUGGACGAUCCAUCAACAUCCUGAAAGGUCAACACUACACCAAGCUGGGAAAAUUGAUCCUGAUAGUCAUCCCCAGGCCUGACCGUUUGUCCUUGAGCCGUAGAUGGUCAACAAUCCGCUAGCUGUCUUGCUCUGACUGGUGCACUGGACAUGAUUUCAAUAGUCAGCCAGACCAUGAUUGAGCUUAAGGGUUGUGCUGCGGAUGCAGCCUGUGCAGUUCCGGGAGAAAGUCACUGUCUCGGGCAAUGCGGUCUGGUAUCAGGUCUUGAUGAUCCUUGCCUGACUGCGGGUUUGUGUACACCUCAAUUCGACUCUGUGUCCUGAACAGAGGCCGCAGUGGUGCAGCGCUUGUGGACGAUCCAUCAACAUCCUGAAAGGUCAACACUACACCAAGCUGGGAAAAUUGAUCCUGAUAGUCAUCCCCAGGCCUGACCGUUUGUCCUUGAGCCGUAGAUGGUCAACAAUCCGCUAGCUGUCUUGCUCUGACUGGUGCACUGGACAUGAUUUCAAUAGUCAGCCAGACCAUGAUUGAGCUUAAGGGUUGUGCUGCGGAUGCAGCCUGUGCAGUUCCGGGAGAAAGUCACUGUCUCGGGCAAUGCGGUCUGGUAUCAGGUCUUGAUGAUCCUUGCCUGACUGCGGGUUUGUGUACACCUCAAUCCGACUCUGUGUCCUGAACAGAGGCCGCAGUGGUGCAGCGCUUGUGGACGAUCCAUCAACAUCCUGAAGGUCAACACUACACCAAGCUGGGAAAAUUGAUCCUGAU